GACGAACGCUGGCGGCGUGCUUAACACAUGCAAGUGGAGCGACGAACCGGGGCUUGCCCCGGGGCAGAGCCGCGAACGGGUGAGUAACACGUGGGUAACCUGCCUCAAUGAUUGGGACAACCCGGGGAAACUCGGGCUAAUACCAAAUGUGUUCACUCCUUCUAAGGGGAGUGAGGAAAGGAAGCUUCGGCCUCCGCAUUGAGAUGGGCCCGCGGCCCAUUAGCUUGUUGGUGAGGUAACGGCUCACCAAGGCUUCGAUGGGUAGCUGGUCUGAGAGGACGAUCAGCCACACUGGGACUGAGACACGGCCCAGACUCCUACGGGAGGCAGCAGUGGGAAUCUUGCACAAUGCGCGAAAGCGUGAUGCAGCAACGCCGC
Molecule: ribosomal RNA, 378 nt
Filed under: uncultured bacterium
Lineage: Bacteria
Description: bacterial SSU rRNA
Rfam family: Bacterial small subunit ribosomal RNA
Source: RNAcentral